Molecule: ribosomal RNA, 258 nt
Filed under: uncultured bacterium
Lineage: Bacteria
Description: partial 16S ribosomal RNA
Rfam family: Bacterial small subunit ribosomal RNA
Source: RNAcentral
UACAGAGGUCCCGAGCGUUGUUCGGAUUCACUGGGCGUAAAGGGUGCGUAGGUGGCAUGAUAAGUUUGGAUGUGAAAUCUCCGGGCCUCAACCCGGAAAAUGCAUUGAAUACUAUCAGGGCUGGAGGUUUGGAGGGGGGACUGGAAUCGUCGGUGUAGCAGUGAAAUGCGUAGAUAUCGAGAGGAACACCAGUGGGCGAAGGCGAGUCCCUGGACAACACCGUGACACUGAGGCACGAAAGCUAGGGGAGCAAACAGG